Molecule: RNase P RNA, 297 nt
Filed under: Escherichia coli
Lineage: Bacteria; Pseudomonadati; Pseudomonadota; Gammaproteobacteria; Enterobacterales; Enterobacteriaceae
Description: partial RNase P RNA component class A
Rfam family: Bacterial RNase P class A
About the family: Ribonuclease P (RNase P) is a ubiquitous endoribonuclease, found in archaea, bacteria and eukarya as well as chloroplasts and mitochondria.
Source: RNAcentral
AGGGCAGGGUGCCAGGUAACGCCUGGGGGGGAAACCCACGACCAGUGCAACAGAGAGCAAACCGCCGAUGGCCCGCGCAAGCGGGAUCAGGUAAGGGUGAAAGGGUGCGGUAAGAGCGCACCGCGCGGCUGGUAACAGUCCGUGGCACGGUAAACUCCACCCGGAGCAAGGCCAAAUAGGGGUUCAUAAGGUACGGCCCGUACUGAACCCGGGUAGGCUGCUUGAGCCAGUGAGCGAUUGCUGGCCUAGAUGAAUGACUGUCCACGACAGAACCCGGCUUAUCGGUCAGUUUCACCU